RNAcentral lists this ribosomal RNA (306 nucleotides) under Rossellomorea marisflavi. RNAcentral's name for it is "bacterial SSU rRNA". It matches the Rfam family "Bacterial small subunit ribosomal RNA", at positions 1044 to 1351 of the family's 1533-position model. Lineage: Bacteria; Bacillati; Bacillota; Bacilli; Caryophanales; Bacillaceae. The record is from RNAcentral.
CAUGGUUGUCGUCAGCUCGUGUCGUGAGAUGUUGGGUUAAGUCCCGCAACGAGCGCAACCCUUGAUCUUAGUUGCCAGCAUUCAGUUGGGCACUCUAAGAUGACUGCCGGUGACAAACCGGAGGAAGGUGGGGAUGACGUCAAAUCAUCAUGCCCCUUAUGACCUGGGCUACACACGUGCUACAAUGGACGGUACAAAGGGCUGCAAGACCGCGAGGUUUAGCCAAUCCCAUAAAACCGUUCUCAGUUCGGAUUGUAGGCUGCAACUCGCCUACAUGAAGCUGGAAUCGCUAGUAAUCGCGGAUCA